Molecule: RNA transcript, 1800 nt
Organism: Panicum virgatum (switchgrass)
Lineage: Eukaryota; Viridiplantae; Streptophyta; Magnoliopsida; Poales; Poaceae
Gene name: pirin-like protein
Exons: 9
Source: RefSeq, a predicted model, not a curated record
ACCAGCACCGCGCCCCCGUUGUUCAUUUGCUCCAACGGACGGACGGCGCACCAAUUCCUUAGUCCGUACACACGUACAUCGAUCGGUCGCCAUGUCUGCCGCGACCGCUUGCAUGCCCCUGGUCCCUCCGCCUCCGUCGUCUCCUCGCCACGGAUCGACCGGGAAGCCGGCAAUGGCGGCCGCCGAGGUCGGCGAGAGGCGGAAGCCCGGUGGCAUGGAGACUGACAUGACGACUCAGAGCAGCCAUGGCGGCGAGGAGCGGCGUGGCGAGGGCAACGGCGAUGGCGAAGUGACGAUGAGCGAGCCGCGGGCGGUGGUGCGGACGCUCGCGUGCGAGCGCAAGCCCUACGUCGCGGGCUUCGCGCACUGGCGGAGCAUCGGCAGGCCUGAGCUGCCGGAGAUGGAUCCUAUCCUUUCUUUCGACGAGUUCGAGUUUUCCGCGCCAGCUGCAUUUCUUGAUCAUCCUCACAGAGGGUUUGAGAACGUCACCUAUAUGCUCGAGGGAGGCGUCAGUUACCAUGACUUUUCAGGGCACAAGGGCACCAUCAACGAAGGAGAUGUUCAGUGGCUGACGGCGGGGCGCGGCGUCGUGCACGCGGAGGUGCCCGCCGGCAAUGGCGUGCAGCGGGGCAUCAACAUCUGGGUCAACCUCUCCGCCAACGACAAGAUGGUGGAGCCGAGGUACCAGGGCCUGGCGAGCCACGGCAUCCCCGCCGCCGCCACGGGCGACGGCGGCGUCUCCGUCAAGGUCAUCGCGGGCGAGUGCCUGGGCGCGCGCUCCCCGCUGCGGCCGCGCACCCCGGCGCUGUGCCUCGACGUCGCCCUGCGGCCCGGCGCGCGCCUCCGCCAGCCCGUCCCGCGCGAGUGGAGCGCGUGCGCCUACGUCAUCGGCGGCGAGGCCGUAUUCGGCGACGCCUCCGCUGGGGCGCGCACGCUCGUCGUGUUCGGCGCCGACGGCGACGGCGUGGACGUGCGGGCCAAGGACGGGCUCGCCGCGGCGGCGGGCGCGAGGGUGAUGCUCGUGGCGGCGCGGCCGCACGGCGAGGCGGUGGUGCGGGACGGACCCUUCGUCAUGAACACCCGGGAGGAGGUGGAGCAGGCGCGGGAAGACUUCCGCCGACGCCGCAACGGCUUCGAGAUGGCUGACGGCUGGACCUCCGACCACGCUGUGCCACCGCCGCCAUGCGCUGAUACUCUAGGCGUAGAUGGUAUCUAAGAUGUGGAAUUUUGGCCCCCAAAGAAAUGCAGUGCAGCGUAGAAAGUGUUUGCAAUAAGACUGUGGUGUGCCUCGGAAAGGCUUGUGGUGUGCCCCGUGAAGUUUGUACGACCUGAACAUUAAGUGACCUUGGGGUUGCUAAACGAGAGGCUACAUUGCUCAAGAAGUAAGUGUUCCUCUUCCCUGCCUCAAUGGAGAUGUAGACGCUGCCUCAAUGGAGAUGUAGACGUAGAUUCCUUGGGAGCUGAAAUCACUACGUACUAAUGUUUCUUUUUUUUUCAAUUUGUUGAAAUUCUUGCAUUGAACUACCUUUCUAGGGUCUACUCUCGACCUACUUGUUGGAAAGGUAUUGUCCGCAGGUUUUUAGAGAAAAGCAGUAGAAAAGGGUCAUAAACCUUGGAAAUUCACUCGAUCUACUUUUAGUUGAGAUUUGAGUAGUCGAAGUUUAGUUAGGCUAUUUUGUCUUGAGUCUUUGGACAUUUAUUCGAAAUCUCUGGAAGUUUUGGAGAUUCUCAACAAAUUUUCGGAAACUCCGCAAGUUUUAUAGUAAGCUUGUUUAAGUUAUAAUUUUUUAGUUUUGACUA